RNAcentral lists this ribosomal RNA (468 nucleotides) under uncultured bacterium. RNAcentral's name for it is "partial 16S ribosomal RNA". It matches the Rfam family "Bacterial small subunit ribosomal RNA", at positions 28 to 507 of the family's 1533-position model. The record is from RNAcentral.
GACGAACGCUGGCGGCGUGCUUAACACAUGCCAGUCGAACGGAAAGGCCCUGCUUUUGUGGGGUGCUCGAGUGGCGAACGGGUGAGUAACACGUGAGUAACCUGCCCUUGACUUUGGGAUAACUUCAGGAAACUGGGGCUAAUACCGGAUAGGAGCUCCUGCUGCAUGGUGGUGGUUGGAAAGUUUCGGCGGUUGGGGAUGGACUCGCGGCUUAUCAGCUUGUUGGUGGGGUAGUGGCUUACCAAGGCUUUGACGGGUAGCCGGCCUGAGAGGGUGACCGGCCACAUUGGGACUGAGAUACGGCCCAGACUCCUACGGGAGGCAGCAGUGGGGAAUAUUGCAGAAUGGGCGGAAGCCUGAUGCAGCAACGCCGCGUGCGGGAUGACGGCCUUCGGGUUGUAAACCGAUUUCGCCUGUGACGAAGCGUGAGUGACGGUAAUGGGUAAAGAAGCACCGGCUAACUACGUG